GGAGUCGGCCAGACAGUCGCGUCAUCGUCCCAGCAAUGGGCGGUGCCGAGGAAAGUCCGGGCUCCACAGGGCACGGUGCCAGGUAACGCCUGGGCGGCGCGAGCCGACGGAAAGUGCAACAGAAAGAUACCGCCGAUGGCCGGGCGUCCCUUCGGGGCGGUCCGGAUCAGGCAAGGGUGAAAUGGUGCGGUAAGAGCGCACCGCGAGUCGGGUAACCGACCGGCACGGCAAACCCCACCGGGAGCAAGGCCAAAUAGGGACCCCAUGACGUGGCCCGCGUCGGGUCCGGGUAGGCUGCUCGAGCGUAGCGGUGACGCUGCGCCCAGAGGAAUGACUGUCCACGACAGAACCCGGCUUAUCGGCCGGCUCCGCCG
This 374-nucleotide RNase P RNA is filed under the name Cognatiluteimonas weifangensis. RNAcentral describes it as "Luteimonas weifangensis Bacterial RNase P class A". It matches the Rfam family "Bacterial RNase P class A". Rfam says of the family: Ribonuclease P (RNase P) is a ubiquitous endoribonuclease, found in archaea, bacteria and eukarya as well as chloroplasts and mitochondria. Lineage: Bacteria; Pseudomonadati; Pseudomonadota; Gammaproteobacteria; Lysobacterales; Lysobacteraceae. The record is from Rfam by way of RNAcentral.